Molecule: long non-coding RNA, 5614 nt
Organism: Clupea harengus (Atlantic herring)
Lineage: Eukaryota; Metazoa; Chordata; Actinopteri; Clupeiformes; Clupeidae
Source: Ensembl
GUAGUCGCACAUACACCAGAAAUGAACCCAACCCAGUUCUUAGUUUUCAUCUUAAUCAUUUAUUCAAGUGAAGUGCAUAUGAUGCAAAUGACAAGUGUCACAAGCCUGUGUGUCAUUCCUCCAAAUCAGCCAAGUAUUCAGUUUCUAGGUAAUCAGAGGACGAGGAGGUGCUGAUGGAGCUGAGGUCAUCGCAGCAGUCCUCUGCGUCGGAGAAGGAGGAGGUGUAGUGGAGGCCGGAGAGCCGGUGGUACUCCAGGGGGGGCACCUCCGCGACCGCUGGCCUGGCGCUCCGACCCCUCUUCCAUGUGAACCCCCUACACAUGUCCACGAGCUGAGUGCAGAUGGCACAACCCAUCGUGUCUAUCACACACACAGAGACAGACAGACAGACAGACUGACAUACACACUCACACACACUGAGCUUUUUUUAAAUGCUGUCUUACUCACACAUUAGAUACACUCUCACACACACUCUUCCCUGUCCCUUCAAAACCACAAAACAGCUUCUGGUCUGUUUUCUGAUAGCAGUAAAUAAGCUCUAACAGACAUCUGGAAUCUCUGGUGCUUCACGACUGUGACACCCCCACUGAUUCACCUUAGACACUAAGCUGUGAGCACCCAGAUUAUCUGACACACACACACACACACACACACACACAGACAGACAUUACACAUACACUGGUGAAAGUCUGAGACUGUGUGACUGGGGAAAGGUGACAGUAUGGCUGUGUUUGUCUGACUGGUGUGUUGUCCAGGGCACUCCUGUUGUCAAGGCGUUUAGCCCCGAGGUUUCACAGCUGGUUGACUGGAUGAAGGAGCUGUGAAGCAGAGAGAGAGAGAGAGAGUGUGAGCGGGAAGAUGAAGCGCGGAGACGUCAGUCAGUCAGGUAGGCUGGCAGUCAGUCAGUCAGUCAGUCAGUCACACAGGCAGACCCGCUUCGUGUGCGUCUGCCUCGUCUGCCUCGCUCGGGUGCGGCGCCUGGGGCUGCCAGAGAAGGUUGGCGGGAGUGCAGAGUUCACGGGUUCAGCGGCGCAGCUCCCGGUGCUGAUUCAGACCGCAGACGGGCGCGAGGUAAAUAUUUACAGGAGCUCAUCACCACCAGCUGCGCUGACACGAAAACAUGGAUCCUCCUCUUUCCCUGUGGAUCAAAUAUCUCUCGUUCUCUCUGCUCUCUGCUCACUCUCUCUCGGUAACCUUCCUCUGGUAAAGCUAGGAGUGCUCAGAUGUUGGAAACACGCACCGUCACUCUGUAUCCAUUGCAUCCACACCCUCACUGUUACAGUAGUAGUAAGGCGGGAAUGAUGAGAGUGAAUCAUCCGACGGAAAGCUUAACUGUAGGUGCCCCUGGACUCUCUCCCUCUCCGUGCGUUGGACGCCCAGGUGCAGUCCAGACGUGUUGGUGGAGCCUCCAGCAGGAAUGACAGUGGAGGGAGUGCCUCUUAGGUGACAUCCAGAGGUUUUUCUUAGGCCCUGUUCCUGUCUGGGAUUAAAAGGAAUGUGAGAGAUGUGAGGCUUUGUAGAGAAACCCUGUAGAGAAAGGCUGAGUUCAGUGUCUGGGCACCCACGCAGGACCUUGAGAGACUACUGUCUGACUACUUUCACUGGAAUUCUGAAUAAGUUGCUUCAUAAUUUAAAUGAGAUAUGGUAAGAAUGUGUUGAUUCAUUCACAAACACUCAUCAUAGAGUUAUUUUAAUGAACAACAUUAGCUUGGCCAUAACUCCCCCCCUCUCCCUUCACAAAGUAACUGGCAGACGGGGAUGCCCGUUACUUUGGAAUAUGAUUGCUUUAAACGACAGGAUGAUGGCCAUUUUUUAAUAGAGCCAACACAGUCCUGGAGAGGAAAAAGAAAGGAAAGAUUUAUGGAUGUUGCUAUGGAAAUGUGUUCUAAAAAGUAUAAUAACCAGCAGCUUUCACAAUGUUUUGGCCCAUCAGUGGUACAUUUAGAUAGUUUUUUUUAAACACGCUAAUUCACCAUAUUGCAUUUAUUAUCACAUCACAUUCUCAACUCAUUUAUCAGAGAGGUCAGUUAAACAUUCUGCCCUGUUGUCUUUUCUUGAGAUCACUGGACUGGCCAAACAUAGCUCCUGCGCACAUGUAAUCUGUUGUUGGAACAUCCAUAUCCCUCUGCACCCAUGUACUUCAGCUGGUUUAUUUCGGUGAGGAAAUGUCAGAGUCGGUGAAGCAUCAGUAAUGACACUCAUGAAAGAUUCAUUGUGGUGAAGCCGAUUGGACACAAGCCAGCUGGGCUAUGGGGGGGGUGGGGGGGGUGGGUGGAGACACCCACGCCUGUGGACAUAAUCGACGGACUCACCUUGCUCCCACAUUCACAUGACUCUUGUAACCUACAUGCCACGGUAUUGUCCCGAGCCCUUGUUUUACAAAUGAGCCUCAUUUGCAUUUGAAGCCAGUGCUGGAGAGGAUGCUGCUGGUAAGGCGUGCCCCACCCAGCCAAAAUAGCCUCCAGUUACACCCUGCCAUGUCAGCCCUUUGAAAAAAGCCUUAAUUUGAACACUAAAGAUAAUCUUAAUUCUAUAACCUUUGUACAGAGAUAAGAUUAAGAUAUAACUACACCUGGUAGGCUUGUCUUCUAAUACUUUACAUUCUGAUUGGUGAUAAGCUUUCAUUCUUUAUCUCCAUUUGUACCCAGUCUUUGGUAAAUACAAAAAUAUAAUGAAUCCCUUCAGGGGACAAAAUGGGUUCAUGCAAAGUGUGGCUGCAGGUCUGGACCAAACGUGCAGCAGCCUGCUAGCAGCAUCCAUGCUAAUGUUUUGAUUGGGUGCAGAGAGCCAGCUGGAUCACUCACAGGGAGCCAGAUGCCUCAGACGAAAAAGACAACAUUUAUUUUUUUAAAGAAAAAGAAAGUCUGAAGAAUAUUUUCAAACUUGCUGUACAGAAUCAGGAUGGGUCCUACCUUUUUACAUGUCUUCCCCUGCAACCUCCUAAGCGCCUCCUUCCAGUCUCAUCUCCCCCUCUUCUCUCUCCAGCUCUCUAUGCGUAGCCUGCUACUGGAGGAGAGGGGAGUCAAAAUGACAUCACACCCACGUCUAGAUUUCUUUUUUUUUCCGCUCACACACACACUUUUGCCAUCCUCCAAGGAUACUGCUGGGGACAGGGGUGGGGUGUGUGUGUAGCAGAGGAAGUGGUGACGGGGGUGGGGCAGCAUGAGAUGGAUGAAUACGGUCAGUAGAGGCACAGCUGGAUUUCCCAGCAUGCAACACAGGUCAUUGGCCUUGCUGCGCGUAAUCAAUGUGUAGCCGCUGGUCUUUUAAAGUGACACAUUGUAUCUGUUACAGCAGCCUGAAAUCAAUCACAGGACCCAGAUACUAAGUCAUCACAGAUGAUCUCUGUUUAUUGCUCUUUUGAGAAUUACUUUGAGUUUAUUUUAUUUUUCUAUUAAUCUAGUUCAUUAUUGGAAGCAGAAUUCUAAUAGUCUUUUAUUUGUUUUCUCCAUAUUGGAAGAGAACUGUUGUUUUUGGGGAAAACAAAUUAUGUUGUUGAAAUGAUAUCACCAGCUGGGCAGUGCUGUGAAACCCAUUAGGCGGGAGAGACAGAUGAUUGGCAGGCCCUGCAGAAUCAUAGAUGAAAGGGAAUGUUGUACAUGGGGUCCUUCCAACAGCACUACAAAAAAUGGGGUGAAGGCACGAACCCAGAUAAUCUGAUUUCAACCGUGACAUUCCCCACUUUCAUACACGUAUGGCUGUGGCUGGAACCAGAGUACGCCAGGGGGAUUGGCUUAGUGCUGUUCCAGAGCAAACAAGUUGUAUUAAAAAGACAAAAGAGCACAAGUCUAACUGUGCUGAAAAGGGAAAGAUGGACCACCACAGACCAAAGAGAGAGAGAGAGAGAAAGUGAGAGAGAAAGAGAAAGUGAGAGAGAAAAAGAGAGAGAGAAAGUGAGAGAGAAGGUGAGAGAGAGAGAAAGUGAGAGAGAAAGAGAAAGUGAGAGAGAAAAAGAGAGAGAGAAAGUGAGAGAGAGAGAAAGUGUGAGAGAAAAAGUGUGAGAGAUAUAUAUAAAAGAACAGGCUUUAUUCACUCUCAAUUUCAAUACAGACAAUAACAGACAAUCAAAAAAGCUUAGUCAACCUUGACUGCAAUAUGCCAGCCUUAAACUGUGAUCACCUGGAUUUUAACCAAUGACAUUGUUAUACAAUAUUUAUUAGUUCACUAGGUUGAGUCUUGACAUUAUUUGAAAUGUAAUGGCUGUGUCAUGUCGUCCAUGUUCACAGAUAGGUACACUCAAAAAGUUGAACAAAGAUCGAUCUAAUUAUGCUCUUUAAUAACGGUAGAAUUUAGUGCCACGCUCUUUUUCAGUUAUACAUACUAGCUAUCGACCAACAUUGCACGUGCCCAGUAUAAUGUGAUUGAAACAAAGAAAAAAUAAACAGAAAAAGACACCAGAUAUUCUCCAUUCCAGUUUGGAAAUCGAUACCAGAUGUUGCACUUUUUCUUUGGUGAACUCAACCAGAUACCAGCCAACAAUUGGCUACGAUCUUCAACGUCAGAUCAGAACUAGCAGGAGUGAGGCUUCGAGUUUCUAGUUCGGUUGAGUCUGUUGGGGGUUCGUCGGCUUGGUGAGGCGUGUCCAUUGUUGGAGGAGAAACAAUCAAACGAGUAUACACUGAGUCACCCUUACACCAGUCUCAACCUGCCCAAAGACCCCACUGCUGAUGAUGACAUGCUGAUCAAUCUUGAAUGUUCCGGUUUGUGAUGAAACCCUCAAUGAGUGAGAGACUUUAAUGCGUGCAACUGGUCUUACACAACUUCCUGUUAAGGGCACAUUUUGAAUCAUCUUGGCUUUUUUUUCUGAAUACAAUUUUGAAAAGCACCAGGGGUAUCCCCCCCGAGCCACUUCCGUCCCAACCCUUCCGCCAUUUUUACCCGUACUCUGACACAACCCACUGCAGGGGCCAGGACAGUAUCUCAACAUGGCUUUGCCAUUAUACAGGCACCAUUUAAGGGCUCCAGGACUUGUGCAUUGCCAGGCAAAAUAAAUACACGAGAUGAAAGACCCCCCCCCCCCCCCCCUUUUAGUUUGGGUUCAGGUCAGCUGGCAGACAUACUGUCUGCAUGGGGGAGGGGGGGCAGAUUAAUGUACAGAGCAGCACAGUCAUCAGGCAGCAGCUGUAUAGCUUAUAUCACCGACCCCCCGUGAGCACCAUGACUCAUGGCACUCCAGGGCCCAACAAGACUCUUCAAACGCAGGAGAAAACUCUGUGUGUGUGUGUGUGUGUGUGUGUGCAUGCAUAUGUCUGUACAUUUAGGUGUCUUAGUGGAGAACGUCCUCGUUUUGAGCUCAUUUUAUAUGAGCCUGAGUUUGCGUCCAUGUAUAAAUUCUCUCCUGUCUCUCUCUCUCCCUCUUUUCUUCUCGCUCUCUCUAGAGUGUGGUGUCAAGUGCUCCUUAUUAUCUUACAUGUAUUCAUCUAUUGAACACCACACCACACCACACCGGCGUCUAAUCUAGGGAGUAAUUUAGCGAGCACAAUUGCAGCUCCUCUCGCGCAGGUGAGAAGCCCCUGGGGGAUGGGUGCUCCAGCGAUGCUGUGGAGUGAAGGCUUCAGUGAGGGAGGGGUUGGGUGGAGGUGGAGGUGGAGGUGGAGGUGUGGCACAUGCCUCG